GCACAAGCGGUGGAUGAUGUGGAUUAAUUCGAUGCAACGCGAAAAACCUCACCUACCCUUGACAUGUCUGGAAUCCCGAAGAGAUUUGGGAGUGCUCGCAAGAGAACUGGAACACAGGUGCUGCAUGGCUGUCGUCAGCUCGUGUCGUGAGAUGUUGGGUUAAGUCCCGCAACGAGCGCAACCCUUGUCAUUAGUUGCUACGAAAGGGCACUCUAAUGAGACUGCCGGUGACAAACCGGAGGAAGGUGGGGAUGACGUCAAGUCCUCAUGGCCCUUAUGGGUAGGGCUUCACACGUCAUACAAUGGUCGGGACAGAGGGUUGCCAACCCGCGAGGGGGAGCUAAUCUCAGAAACCCGAUCGUAGUCCGGAUUGCAGUCUGCAACUCGACUGCAUGAAGUCGGAAUCGCUAGUAAUCGCGGAUCAGCAUGUCGCGGUGAAUACGUUCCCGGGUCUUGUACACACCGCCCGUCACACCAUGGGAGUGGGUUUCACCAGAAGUAGUUAGCCUAACCGCAAGGGGGGCGAUUACCACGGUGGGAUUCAUGACUGGGGUGAAGUCGUAACAAGGUAACC
This 574-nucleotide ribosomal RNA is filed under the name uncultured bacterium. RNAcentral's name for it is "bacterial SSU rRNA". It matches the Rfam family "Bacterial small subunit ribosomal RNA", at positions 923 to 1501 of the family's 1533-position model. The record is from RNAcentral.